This 178-nucleotide non-coding RNA is filed under the name Clostridium tepidiprofundi. RNAcentral describes it as "Lysine sequence". It matches the Rfam family "Lysine riboswitch aptamer". Rfam says of the family: Riboswitches are metabolite binding domains within certain messenger RNAs that serve as precision sensors for their corresponding targets. Allosteric rearrangement of mRNA structure is mediated by ligand binding, and this results in modulation of gene expression. RNAcentral also lists the same sequence under 1 other name. The record is from RNAcentral. Lineage: Bacteria; Bacillati; Bacillota; Clostridia; Eubacteriales; Clostridiaceae.
ACGAUUGGUAGAGGCGCAGUGUUUAAGAGUACUGUUAUUGAGGUAAGCACGAUGAUAUAACAGGAAAGGAAGUACUGCCGAAGGGUACAGUUGAUGCUUUAAGAUUGUAUUCCUGGGCUUGCACAUAACAUGUGUAAGACUGUCACAAAUAUUCUAUUUGUGGAGAGCUAUCAUUCAU